Molecule: long non-coding RNA, 243 nt
Filed under: Mytilus galloprovincialis (Mediterranean mussel)
Lineage: Eukaryota; Metazoa; Mollusca; Bivalvia; Mytilida; Mytilidae
Source: RNAcentral
UCUUCCUUUAUUCGAGAACAAUCUAAUUGAUAUAUAAAUCUGUGAUUUUACUAUGUUCAUAACUUCGAUGAACCAAAGCAAGUUAUAUAUCGACCUGUAUUUAAAUCAAAUUGGUUUCUUCUUCUUCUUCUUCUUCUUCUUCUUCUUCUUCUUCUUCUUCUUCUUCUUCUUCUUCUUCUUCUUCUUCUUCUUUUGGUAUACAAUAGUCUAUCGAAUUCGUUGAUCACAUACUGUUGGCAUACG